Drosophila guanche is the source of this 705-nucleotide long non-coding RNA. RefSeq lists it as uncharacterized. Lineage: Eukaryota; Metazoa; Arthropoda; Insecta; Diptera; Drosophilidae. The record is from RefSeq and is a predicted model, not a curated record. The transcript has 3 exons.
CCUGUCAUUUAAUUUCAACAGCUUUAAAUCACAUGCCAAUAAAAAUUCAUUAAAACAGGGCGACGAUUACAAACUCCCAUAAAGGGAAAGAAAAAACUAUCUAAGACGAUGAGUAUAUUUACUUGGGAAAAGUCCAACUCGAAAUUUGUGGAGUUGUCCUUCAAGUCAGCAGCGGAAACUAUUUUUCUCUGCGCUGAAAAGGUUCAGAAGGAGCACCGCACCACUCUGGAACUGGGAGCAGCUGUGUUGUUCUUAAUACUAUUGCUAAACCUUCUCUUUAAUGUGUGUACGUCUAAGAAGACUAAGCCAACUCCAGCCACUCCUGCUAAUGUGAUUCUGCUCUUGGAUAUUCGUGUGCCAAUGCCUUGCAAACAAGAACCGAUGGAAGUUGAGCCACCAAAACCGCCACAACAGAACAUCAGUCCCCAUCACCGUUAUGACUUGAGAAACAGAGAUCUUCGUCGAUUACGGUCUUGUAAAUGCAAGGUUUAAUAAAACAGAGAUAAACCCCAACGACAUUCCGGGAUCGAUAGUAUAAACCGUCUUGGAGGCGGAAAUGAGAAGGAAAUCCAAUAAAUUAUACUAGAACCAAAAAUUUCUGAAAAUGCUGGGAAACAGAGGGAUUUGUUUUAAAGUUAAUUAACUAUCGUUAGAUCAGACCAAGAAUCGCUGAAAGCUUUCCAUUAAAUGUUAGUAUACAUUUUA